RNAcentral lists this ribosomal RNA (495 nucleotides) under uncultured bacterium. RNAcentral describes it as "partial 16S ribosomal RNA". It matches the Rfam family "Bacterial small subunit ribosomal RNA", at positions 28 to 507 of the family's 1533-position model. The record is from RNAcentral.
GACGAACGCUGGCGGCGUGCCUAAUACAUGCAAGUAGAACGCUGAAGGAGGAGCUUGCUUCUCUGGAUGAGUUGCGAACGGGUGAGUAACGCGUAGGUAACCUGCCUGGUAGCGGGGGAUAACUAUUGGAAACGAUAGCUAAUACCGCAUAAGAGUAGAUGUUGCAUGACAUUUGCUUAAAAGGUGCAAUUGCAUCACUACCAGAUGGACCUGCGUUGUAUUAGCUAGUUGGUGGGGUAACGGCUCACCAAGGCGACGAUACAUAGCCGACCUGAGAGGGGGAACGGCCACACUGGGACUGAGACACGGCCCAGACUCCUACGGGAGGCAGCAGUAGGGAAUCUUCGGAAAUGGACGGAAGUCUGACCGAGCAACGCCGCGUGAGUGAAGAAGGGUUUCGGAUCGUAAAGCUCUGUUGUAAGAGAAGAACGAGUGUGAGAGUGGAAAGUUCACACUGUGACGGUAUCUUACCAGAAAGGGACGGCUAACUACGUG